GAUGAACGCUGGCGGCGUGCCUAAUACAUGCAAGUCGAGCGAACGGACGAGAAGCUUGCUUCUCUGAUGUUAGCGGCGGACGGGUGAGUAACACGUGGAUAACCUACCUAUAAGACUGGGAUAACUUCGGGAAACCGGAGCUAAUACCGGAUAAUAUUUUGAACCGCAUGGUUCAAAAGUGAAAGACGGUCUUGCUGUCACUUAUAGAUGAUCCGCGCUGCAUUAGCUAGUUGGUAAGGUAACGGCUUACCAAGGCAACGAUGCAUAGCCGACCUGAGAGGGUGAUCGGCCACACUGGAACUGAGACACGGUCCAGACUCCUACGGGAGGCAGCAGUAGGGAAUCUUCCGCAAUGGGCGAAAGCCUGACGGAGCAACGCCGCGUGAGUGAUGAAGGUCUUCGGAUCGUAAAACUCUGUUAUUAGGGAAGAACAUAUGUGUAAGUAACUGUGCACAUCUUGACGGUACCUAAUCAGAAAGCCACGGCUAACUACGUG
RNAcentral lists this ribosomal RNA (496 nucleotides) under uncultured bacterium. RNAcentral describes it as "partial 16S ribosomal RNA". It matches the Rfam family "Bacterial small subunit ribosomal RNA", at positions 28 to 507 of the family's 1533-position model. The record is from RNAcentral.